AGACUGCAAAUGACCCUGUGAACUAUCUGGAGAGAAAGAAAGAUGAUUUCUUUAUGAGUUUUAAGAUCUCCUGCCAAGGUGCCACUUCAAUCACUUCCUUUGUUGACUUCCUAUGGCUCAAGCUCAGUCCUGCUAUCUCUGCCAGCAUACGGAAAAUAAUGGUUCAAAAAAUAGCUGGAGACAUGCGAGCCACCUGCCCUGAAUUCAAUGGAAACAGAGCUAACCUGGAGAAACAUAUUCUCUACUCUCUAGCAGAAGAAGAAAAUUUUGAUAAAUACUGGAAAUACAUUCAAAGGCCAGAGGAAUUUUUCAGGGAUUAUAUUAGAGACCACAUUAAAAGAUACUGUUCAGAAAAAGAGAGUGAAAAAAUAAAAACUUUUUUAAACAUAAGUUUAGGUGACAUCAAGAAUACCAUCCUGUCUGCCAUUCAUAAGUCCACAAAGGUAGCUAAAGCUAAAGGCAGCACUGCAUCUGGCUGGCUGGAUUUGUUCUGUGACCACCUAGGGAGCAACCUGGUCUUCCCAAGGAGAGACCUGGUAAACAUAGAGCACCAGGAGCUAAUGGAUACUGAGUUCCUCAAAGAAGCCAUGAGCAAAGCUUUGGAUCCUGCAAUGAGGGAAAUAGAAGAGGAUUGUUCAAGUAAGCACAUAGAUGAAAUUGUUCCUGACAUUGAGGAAAUUCUCUCUGAACAUCUCUGUGGCUGUUGGAAACAGUGUCCUUUUUGUAAGGCAAUUUGUACAAACACCAUUCCCCAGCAUGAAGGAGACCACAGUGUGCCAUUCCACCGUCCUCAGGCUGUCAGUGGUUGGCAUUGGCAUAAAACAGACCAGUUCGACAUUAAUGUUUGUACUAGUAAUGUAGCAAGUAAUAUUUGCUUCAUUUUAAAUGACCGCUGGAGAUACAAAUACAAGAAAUAUCGAGACGCAGGAGGUGAUUAUGCCACAUGGAGCAUCACCCCAGACUCAUCUACCCAGCCAUAUUGGAAAUGGUUUGUCUGUCAUUUCAGAUCAAAGCUAGAACACAAUUAUGGCAAAAAAUUUACAGGGAAAGGUAGUAUUCCAGAUUUAUGGACCAAAAUCACAAAGCAAGAAGUCCUGAAUGACUUAAAAAAAUAAUAACUGCCACAGACAGAACACUAGAUGGGCUACAGAAAUUUUACUUCAGCCAAGGGAGCCUAAUGGAGAACACCAUGCAGGAGGAUCUGCAGUAGACAUUUGAGCUUCCUCGAGAUGGCCCACUCUAUUGGGCAAUUUUUCUGCAGACCAAUAUGAAGUUAAACUUUCAUAAAAUAAGACUGUUUAGAUGAAUUAAUGAUUUUAUAGAAUUUCUGAAUUGAUUUAAAUAGUUUUAGGCACUAGGGUUAAUGAUAGAAAGUUUAAGGAGAUGGCUUAAUUUGUUCUGCUAAAUAGAUAUGAUAAAGUUAGAAUUAAGAGCAGAAUGUGACCUUUCCCUUGUAGGAUAAUGAGAGCUACAUAGGUUUGAAAAGGAGUACAGUGAGCUUUCAUGUACUGCAAGUAUGUGAUUGUACUUGGAAGAAGAAAAUAGGCUUGGGACAAGUUAAUGCUCAAAACAUUCAUUCUAGGUUGGGUCUGAGUUCCUGGAUUUUGUGAUCUAGAGACAUAGUCACAGGUUUUGGUGGGCACCAUAAAAAGGCAAGGUAAUGAACAAGGAGUAAAUAAUUCGAUUAUUAGUAUAGAAUAGAGAAUAGAUGAUUAUCCAGUCUUGCUGAACAAGACUUCAAAAAUAAGAUGUAAGAGGGAUUGUUUCUUUGUAAAUACAGAUUGAUCAUCAUCUAAGCAUAUGGAAAACUCGCUACUGUAGACUUGGCUUGCUUAAACAUUGUUAAUCAAUAACAAAAGAAGUAUGGCUUUAGGUUUGCUAUGGAGAAAAAGAUGAGAGAACGUUAGAUGAGAAAUGCUUAGGUAUGAGUUUCAAAAGAGAAAUACACAAUCAAUACUCCUGUUGUAAUCUCCUCUUGUGUGAUGAUUUUAUUGUCUUAUUGAAGAACAUGUGUUUUGUGAUUGUUUUUAGAAAACUUGCACUCAUGGCUAUGAGGUAAUUUUUGUCAGACAUAGAGAACUUUGUCUUAGAUGGUGUUAAAAGGCUAAGAGAAAAAUAAAGUUGUUAGAGCUC
This is an RNA transcript of Mus musculus (house mouse), 2133 nucleotides long. It is a transcript of the gene named GTPase, very large interferon inducible, pseudogene 5, with no coding region annotated. The record is from RefSeq and is marked validated. NCBI's taxonomy places the organism in Eukaryota, Metazoa, Chordata, Mammalia, Rodentia, Muridae. The transcript has a single exon.